This 425-nucleotide long non-coding RNA is filed under the name Carica papaya (papaya). Its description in RNAcentral is "long non-coding RNA (CPAP_LNC002763)". The record is from RNAcentral. Lineage: Eukaryota; Viridiplantae; Streptophyta; Magnoliopsida; Brassicales; Caricaceae.
UACAAAGAGAAUUUUUCGAUUGCGGAGUAAUCUACUCUUUCGAUCCACAAUACCAACCGGUACUUCCUUAUAGGAUAGAUCCUCCUGGAGUGGAAGAGGCUCGUGAGCUAAGACAUGAGAGAGGUCCGGGUUGUACUUGCGUAGCAUUGACACAUGAAACACAUUGUGGAUCUUAGAAAGUUCUGGAGGCAGUGCUAGUCUCGGUACCAAUUCUGUCUAAGAUUUCAAAUGGUCCAAUAAAUCGGGGGUUCAGUUUCCCCCUCUUGCCAAACCUACUGAUUCCCUUGAAAAGAGUGACCUUAAGGAACACCCGAUCGCCUUUCUCAAAUUUCAAAUCUCUCCACCGAGUGUCCGCAUAAUGCUUCUAUCUGCUCUGAGUCAUCUGAAUAUUCUUUCUUAUCUUAACUAUUUUGGAUGUAGUUUCC